CCUACGGGGGGCUGCAGUGAGGAAUAUUGGUCAAUGGGCGCGAGCCUGAACCAGCCAAGUAGCGUGAAGGAUGACUGCCCUACGGGUUGUAAACUUCUUUUAUAAAGGAAUAAAGUGAGGCACGUGUGCCUUUUUGUAUGUACUUUAUGAAUAAGGAUCGGCUAACUCCGUGCCAGCAGCCGCGGUAAUACGGAGGAUCCGAGCGUUAUCCGGAUUUAUUGGGUUUAAAGGGAGCGUAGAUGGGUUGUUAAGUCAGUUGUGAAAGUUUGCGGCUCAACCGUAAAAUUGCAAUUGAUACUGGCAGUCUUGAGUACAGUUGAGGUAGGCGGAAUUCGUGGUGUAGCGGUGAAAUGCUUAGAUACCCCGAAGACCUCCGAUGCCGAAGGCAGCUUCCUAAACUGCCCCUGCCAUUGAUGCCCGAAAGUGUGGGUAUCAACCAGGAUUAGAUCCCCCUGUAGUC
Molecule: ribosomal RNA, 460 nt
Filed under: uncultured bacterium
Lineage: Bacteria
Description: partial 16S ribosomal RNA
Rfam family: Bacterial small subunit ribosomal RNA
Source: RNAcentral